This 254-nucleotide ribosomal RNA is filed under the name uncultured bacterium. RNAcentral's name for it is "partial 16S ribosomal RNA". It matches the Rfam family "Bacterial small subunit ribosomal RNA", at positions 524 to 776 of the family's 1533-position model. The record is from RNAcentral.
UACGGGGGGAGCAAGCGUUGUUCGGAUUUACUGGGCGUAAAGGGCGCGUAGGCGGUCGUGACAGGUCACUGGUGAAAUCUCCGGGCUUAACUCGGAACGGUCAAGUGAUACUGUCGGACUAGAGUACAGAAGGGGCAACUGGAAUUCUCGGUGUAGCGGUGAAAUGCGUAGAUAUCGAGAGGAACACCUGCGGCGAAGGCGGGUUGCUGGGCUGAUACUGACGCUGAGGAGCGAAAGCGUGGGGAGCGAACAGG